CUGCACUGUAAAAUGUAAUUCUAGCUGUUUGUUAUUUCAACAUAUUAUUCUAUAUCAGUUUGACGAUAGAUGACUGAAGUUGUUGUUAUAACAUAGAAUUACAAGUUAAAAACGUCCCAAUUACACCAAAAAAAGCUAACUUGAAAACUCAAGUCCAGCUAAAUCAGCAACUUAUGUGAACUUGACAAUGUGGGUAAGUUGAGCACAGCAGGAUUCAAAACUGCCUCACGUGACUGCUACCGAGGUGCAUCAUGGGGAAUUGGCGGUUAACGACAUGCUCACUUUACUUGGACGUUUUCUAAUCGUCUUCUUUGGAAUAUGCUUUCAAGGUCUGUGAAGCCAAAACUUGAUGCUGGGGAUUUAUUUUUGUCAGUGGAGUCAAAUGGUCUAGAUGAUCACAUCUGACUUUGUCAUUUAAAUGAGGUGGACUUGCAAACUUUGCACUCUUUUGGGUAAAUUGCUGUCCACUACAUAUACACAGAAUGUGCACAGUAUUUCAGAUCUAAAAAGGGAGUAUGUAAUGGACUUGCUGGCUUUAAUGUAAAAAGCCUGUUGUGUAACUUUAAUGAGGCAGUUGGACUAAAACAAUAUUGCUCAUCAAGGUAAACAUCUGAGGAAUAAGGAAACUGUUACUUGUCCUUUUACUCAGUGUUCUUUUAAUCGCACGUUUACUAAAGUUUUACAUCACAUAAGUCAUUUUCACAAUCAUUCUACUUUAAAAGAUUUCAAGACAGAGCUUAUUGUUCUCUGAACUUCCUUGUUUGCUGAACGGCAGGUAAAGUGCAUCUUUUUGUUUGUUUACUUUUGUGUGUUUGUGUUUUCUCUAAUGGGCCUCAGAUGACCGUUUGCUUAAAUUUGGGUCUCAAAGAAUCUUUUUUUUAUUCUGCCUGUACUCUCCACCCCUCUUCUUCUAUUGCUCAGGUUGAAGCAGAAUUUGCCCGUCUUACAUCUGUUGACCUGAAAGGGUUCCUUUUGCUGUGCUUGACCAUUAUGGAGAGGUUCGUGGAGCUGUACAAAAUCAAGAGCAGCAUAGGAGGGCUAACUAGGCUCAUAAGAUGCUUCGGUGAUGAUAGCCCUACACAAAGGAAGAGGACAGAGGACCUCAUUUUCUAAAGGAAGAUCCCUCACACACUUUCAAGACUGUGAAGCCGACAGGUAUUGAAGACACGUUUUCUAAGAGGAUGAAAGUUGGCAUUGCGAUGGUGAAAGAAGAAGACAUCAUCGAUGUGUUGGUUGUCCUUGAGGCGGCAGUAAUCCUGUCUAAUCUGAGGAAUGUCUCAAGUGCCAUUUCCAUGCUGAUGGGCCUUCUUUUUGCCCUCAACAUAGACUAUCCAAAGGAACUUAAGGACAUCUUUGAAGUCAUUCAGAACAUCCUAAUGAACAUUGGUGGAAGUCAGUGCAUCUCACUAGUGCAUGGUCUAAGAAACAGACUCUUGCAGAAAGCCAUG
Long non-coding RNA from Oreochromis aureus, 1448 nucleotides. Lineage: Eukaryota; Metazoa; Chordata; Actinopteri; Cichliformes; Cichlidae. The record is from Ensembl.